RNAcentral lists this ribosomal RNA (347 nucleotides) under uncultured bacterium. Its description in RNAcentral is "partial 16S ribosomal RNA". It matches the Rfam family "Bacterial small subunit ribosomal RNA", at positions 338 to 682 of the family's 1533-position model. The record is from RNAcentral.
CCUACGGGGGACAGCAGUGAGGAAUAUUGGUCAAUGGGCGCGAGCCUGAACCAGCCAAGUAGCGUGAAGGAUGACUGCCCUACGGGUUGUAAACUUCUGUUAUAAAGGAAUAAAGUGAGGCACGUGUGCGUUUUUGUAUGUACUUUAUGAAUAAGGAUCGGCUAACUCCGUGCCAGGAGCCGCGGUAAUACGGAGGAUCCGAGCGUUAUCCGGAUUUAUUGGGGUGAAAGGGAGCGUAGAUGGGUUGUUAAGUCAGUUGUGAAAGUUUGCGGCUCAACCGUAAAAUUGCAAUUGAUACUGGCAGUCUUGCGUACAGUUGAGGUAGGCGGCCUUCGUGGUGUAGCGGU